This 207-nucleotide long non-coding RNA is filed under the name Musa acuminata (dwarf banana). RNAcentral's name for it is "long non-coding RNA (MACU_LNC008842)". Lineage: Eukaryota; Viridiplantae; Streptophyta; Magnoliopsida; Zingiberales; Musaceae. The record is from RNAcentral.
AAAUAUUUACAAUAGAGCAAAUUUUUCGUCAUACGCCUCGAAGUAGAAUAAUUUGAUAAGUUUAAUUUAAUCAUACCAUCUGACUCUUCUAUUUCAAUCAUAUAAGAAAAAUUAACACCAAAUAACCUGACUCUAAUACCACUUGUUGGGAAAAAUUAUUAGAGUGGAAUAAUUCUUUUCUGUCUUUGUGUAUCAAAAUGAGAUUCC